RNAcentral lists this unclassified non-coding RNA (146 nucleotides) under uncultured Stictidaceae. RNAcentral's name for it is "sequence contains ITS2". The record is from RNAcentral. Lineage: Eukaryota; Fungi; Ascomycota; Lecanoromycetes; Ostropales.
ACACUCUCAAGCUCUGCUUGGUAUUGGAGGCCGCCCCGGCGGGGCGUCUCCGAAACGCAGCGGCGACGUAGCUGGAUCCCUGGCGUAGUGACAUUACUUUCGCCCUGGAGACGGUCGUGCGUCCGCCGGACAACGCCCCUAUUCUG